Molecule: ribosomal RNA, 1689 nt
Filed under: Escherichia coli
Lineage: Bacteria; Pseudomonadati; Pseudomonadota; Gammaproteobacteria; Enterobacterales; Enterobacteriaceae
Description: partial 23S ribosomal RNA
Rfam family: Bacterial large subunit ribosomal RNA
Source: RNAcentral
CUGGAGGUAUCAGAAGUGCGAAUGCUGACAUAAGUAACGAUAAAGCGGGUGAAAAGCCCGCUCGCCGGAAGACCAAGGGUUCCUGUCCAACGUUAAUCGGGGCAGGGUGAGUCGACCCCUAAGGCGAGGCCGAAAGGCGUAGUCGAUGGGAAACAGGUUAAUAUUCCUGUACUUGGUGUUACUGCGAAGGGGGGACGGAGAAGGCUAUGUUGGCCGGGCGACGGUUGUCCCGGUUUAAGCGUGUAGGCUGGUUUUCCAGGCAAAUCCGGAAAAUCAAGGCUGAGGCGUGAUGACGAGGCACUACGGUGCUGAAGCAACAAAUGCCCUGCUUCCAGGAAAAGCCUCUAAGCAUCAGGUAACAUCAAAUCGUACCCCAAACCGACACAGGUGGUCAGGUAGAGAAUACCAAGGCGCUUGAGAGAACUCGGGUGAAGGAACUAGGCAAAAUGGUGCCGUAACUUCGGGAGAAGGCACGCUGAUAUGUAGGUGAGGUCCCUCGCGGAUGGAGCUGAAAUCAGUCGAAGAUACCAGCUGGCUGCAACUGUUUAUUAAAAACACAGCACUGUGCAAACACGAAAGUGGACGUAUACGGUGUGACGCCUGCCCGGUGCCGGAAGGUUAAUUGAUGGGGUCAGCGCAAGCGAAGCUCUUGAUCGAAGCCCCGGUAAACGGCGGCCGUAACUAUAACGGUCCUAAGGUAGCGAAAUUCCUUGUCGGGUAAGUUCCGACCUGCACGAAUGGCGUAAUGAUGGCCAGGCUGUCUCCACCCGAGACUCAGUGAAAUUGAACUCGCUGUGAAGAUGCAGUGUACCCGCGGCAAGACGGAAAGACCCCGUGAACCUUUACUAUAGCUUGACACUGAACAUUGAGCCUUGAUGUGUAGGAUAGGUGGGAGGCUUUGAAGUGUGGACGCCAGUCUGCAUGGAGCCGACCUUGAAAUACCACCCUUUAAUGUUUGAUGUUCUAACGUUGACCCGUAAUCCGGGUUGCGGACAGUGUCUGGUGGGUAGUUUGACUGGGGCGGUCUCCUCCUAAAGAGUAACGGAGGAGCACGAAGGUUGGCUAAUCCUGGUCGGACAUCAGGAGGUUAGUGCAAUGGCAUAAGCCAGCUUGACUGCGAGCGUGACGGCGCGAGCAGGUGCGAAAGCAGGUCAUAGUGAUCCGGUGGUUCUGAAUGGAAGGGCCAUCGCUCAACGGAUAAAAGGUACUCCGGGGAUAACAGGCUGAUACCGCCCAAGAGUUCAUAUCGACGGCGGUGUUUGGCACCUCGAUGUCGGCUCAUCACAUCCUGGGGCUGAAGUAGGUCCCAAGGGUAUGGCUGUUCGCCAUUUAAAGUGGUACGCGAGCUGGGUUUAGAACGUCGUGAGACAGUUCGGUCCCUAUCUGCCGUGGGCGCUGGAGAACUGAGGGGGGCUGCUCCUAGUACGAGAGGACCGGAGUGGACGCAUCACUGGUGUUCGGGUUGUCAUGCCAAUGGCACUGCCCGGUAGCUAAAUGCGGAAGAGAUAAGUGCUGAAAGCAUCUAAGCACGAAACUUGCCCCGAGAUGAGUUCUCCCUGACCCUUUAAGGGUCCUGAAGGAACGUUGAAGACGACGACGUUGAUAGGCCGGGUGUGUAAGCGCAGCGAUGCGUUGAGCUAACCGGUACUAAUGAACCGUGAGGCUUAACCUUACAACGCCGAAGCUGUU